Molecule: long non-coding RNA, 7731 nt
Filed under: Daucus carota (carrot)
Lineage: Eukaryota; Viridiplantae; Streptophyta; Magnoliopsida; Apiales; Apiaceae
Description: long non-coding RNA (DCAR_LNC006284)
Source: RNAcentral
CUCAAUCAUAGCAGAGUCGAGAGUAAGAGUCCUGGCAUUACCCAGUUCUGAUAACAUGGGUAUGACAAAAUCAUAAUGUAAUCCCUUCUCAUCCAAUGUUGCAUCAUUGAACUCAUUUGUAUCUUAUAAUUUUACAGAUACAUUCUCCAAUCCAUGAACUUUUGACCUGACCAUAUUGAUACCAACUAAAGAAAGUUCGCGGAGCUUGUUUGACAAAACCACUAUUUCAUGGAUCCAGCAAAUACAUGAAAAGUUGGAACAGAUCUUGAGGUGCACUAAUUGGGGACAAGAUAUAAUCCAAUUGUGUUUACACGAUCCACUGAAAGAUAUUGUAAUAUCCCGCACAACUCACAAGUGCAGAGAAGAAAUCAUUCAUGUUCGCAGGUAAAUCUACCUCAUCCAGUUCUAGACUUAGUAAAUCUGGCAAAUCCCACACAUUUUCCGGCAAUUUGGCCCUUUUCAUGAUGAGGGUUGUCAGACAAGGCACGCUGAUAGACGACAGCGAUUCCGGCAACCUAAUGCCAUCAAGACACGGAGUCGUCAAAUUUGGCAACCAUAUCAAACAAUAUUCAGAUAAGUUAUAACUUGACAUAUGUGGCGGGCGUAUCAAAUGCAAAGCUUUUAAAGCAGGCAAGACCCACUCAGAAUCUGUUCGCAAUGAUUCAUCAUAGUCAAGAGGCACCCGUAACUUAAGUUUCUUCAAGGUAUCAGAACUAAAUGUCAAUAACUUGAACGGCUUAUAACGAUGGAACUGCAAAUCGAUAUCGAGCUCUUCAACAUUAUGGUCAAUUGGAUAAUUAAUCAACCUUCUUACAAAAUUAGGCGGAAACGGAUAAACAGCAAGAAACUUGAAACAAGAAACAUGGGUAUCUUGGUCUCGAUUUUCCAAAACAUGGUCAAUAAAUCUGAUGAUACCAGAAUGAGUGUAUGGGAAAAGUUGAUCAUACCCAUCAAAGGAGAGGACAGGGAGAGUAGUCCACAUACGCUUCCAUCUUUUAGAGUGGAUGCUUGUCUGAACCGCUUGUCGAGUGCCCAGAAAUGAAAGGACUUGAUAUAUUAAUUCAUCAAGUAAGCUGCUGAGCCUGUGUUCUCCAUUUGGGUUUGUGAUUUUGAGCUUGCUGUUCAUUUUUGGUGACCCAAUUUUCAUGGGUCUCGAGGGUUUACUGAUUACUGCUAAAAGGGGGCUUAUGAUGGUAUGAAAUGGGAUAUAAAUUUAUGUCGUCUGAGGGGAGAUCAAGCGUCAGGACUCAGGAGAGGGUGUGGGGUAACCGAGCUGACUUGUUUUUUUGGAGCAGCGUCUAUUUGGAUACUAUUGUUUAUACAGAAGUCAAAAUAAAAAAUGGUAUAAAAUCCUUAUGUGAAUUGUAAAACUUUUAAAGCUAACAAGAAAACCAAGUAAUUGUCCCCGGUAAGAGAAAAAACAUCAUUACCGGUUAAAUAGAAAGUGAUAAACCAUUUCUGAUAGACAAGUAAUAGAUCCCUGAUCCCUUGACCCGGUAACAAACUCACUAGCAAAAUCAGUCAUUUCAAUCCAUAAAAAAGUUUUUCACCAAGGUGCAAAGCAUAUUUAGCUUUGGUGUAUAAAAUAUCUCAAUUUUGGCUAUGAAAUUAUUAAAAGCACUUCACUGUGAGAUCAAGUAGCCCUCCAAACUCCUAGUUCUGGCCCUGCUAUAACCCAAAAUCAACAAUUUCUCAGGAAGAGCUUGCCCCGUCAUUACCUGUCCCGGUUCCUUCAACUGGACAACCAAUCUGUCUCACCUUUCCAGCAUCUACAACAGAAUUCUCGACCAAAUGCUCUCCUUGAACCCUCUUCCCAGUAUCAACACAGACCUUUUGCGAUGUCGAGGAGUUUGACACCACUUGAUGAUUCAACUUUCUCUGGAAAAAAAAUGACAAAUGCUGAGUGAAAUAGAGCUUAUACCUUAUUGACGUAGAGAAAACGUCUCUAUUUAAUUCAGUACACUGUUAAGUAUCAACCCAAUAUGAAUGGGAUUCUGAGACUAUGAAUGAGAUUAGAUAUUUUAGAAUUAGAUUCUGAUUUGUCAAAGUUUGAGACGACUAUAUAUACAUAGUCAUAUUGUUUGAUAGGUAUGCUUGAGUGUUGAGUGUUGUUAGGCUUGAGUAUCCUAGUUUGUUGAAUUGCAUUAUUGAUAACGGUUUUGAUUAAUAAUACACGUUGCGACGUGUCGCGUCAUAUAAUUUUGUGUGUAUGUUUUGUAUCAGAAGAUUGAUCUCGCAUAUUAUUCCUAACAAGUGGUAUCAAGAGCCUAGGUUCAUGAUGGAUAAUAUGGGAGGAAAAUUCGAUAUUGAAUUGUUUAAUGGCAGAAAUAAUUUUACUUUAUGGCAGAGCAAAGUGAAAGAUUUCACAAGAAAAAGUUGUGCUCAACACAAGUAAAAUUCUGAAAACAGUAACAUUACACUCAUAACAAGUUAUAGAUCAUGAGGCAAUGAUAUUGACUGUUGAUUCACUGCAUGCUGCCUUGAGGAAAGUAAAUCAAGACUAUAUAAAUGUUUUUUCUUCUAAAGAAAUGCUGGAAUUUUUGGUCACACAAAAGCAAAUUUGGACGUGAAACUGAAUCAUGGCAUAAGAGCAGCUAUUCUCUAUGCAGCUAUUAAUCAAUUUAAAAAAAUAAGAAGAAAUUUAAUACGCAGAGAGGAAAUCAAACUACCUGCUGCCACUGCUGUCAAUAUUUCUGGUAAUACCCUCUCACACCAGAGAUUAACAAAAAUAAAAUAAAAUAGAAUGUAUGUAUGAAGAAGAAUUCAAAGAGGUGCUUUAUCAUCAUGAUCUUCAGUUUGAACAUCAUUUUUUAAAUGGUACAAUGAUACUCAACGACGCAAUGCACCAAACUGAUUAAGAUUUACUGAUCCUAACAACCCCAAGCUUAUUGUUCCUAGCUAUAGCUGUUAGUUGAGUGUCCUAGUAUAACGAUAAACAUAACUAUAUAUAUUAUUCUUAACAUAAUUUAUUAGUUUACCUUGUGUAAUAAGAUAAUACUUCUGCCUGAAUCAGGCAUUUAGCUUCCAGACUUUUCAAGAAUUUGUAGGAAACAUCUGCAUAAACCACCUUAGAAGAUGGUGUGAAAAGAAAGCGGCCUCAUUCAGCUUACGGACAGCCUUCUCCAAUUCUUCAAGUCUAGCAACCACGAUGAGAUCAGAAGGCCCAGAGCGAGCUUCAGUGUUGAUAUUAUGAGCCUUCUUCAACGUACAGAUAGUCUUCUCCAAUUCAUCAAUUCUAGCAACGACGUUGGGAUCAAAAGGCCCAGAGUGUGUUUCAUUUGUUACAUGUGGCUCAAUGCCCUGCUCCAAUAAAAGCAGACUACUCGCUUGCUCUAUCAAUUAUUUUUUUUAAUUGCACCCUUUAUUUUUUGACUUUUCCAGUCUGACAUCACAGGCUUACCAAUUUCAAUAGCCAAAGGACUCAUUUUCUGGAGAAACCACGAUGAGAUCAGAAGGCCCAGAGCGAGCUUCAGUGUUGAUAUUAUGAGCCUUCUUCAACGUACAGAUAGUCUUCUCCAAUUCAUCAAUUCUAGCAACGACGUUGGGAUCAAAAGGCCCAGAGUGUGCUUCAUUUGUUACAUGUGGCUCAAUGCCCUGCUCCAAUAAAAGCAGUCUACUCGCUUGCUCUAUCAAUUAUUUUUUUUAAUUGCACCCUUUAUUUCUUGACUUUUCCAGGCCGACAUCACAGGCUUACCAAUUUCAAUAGCCAAAGGACUCAUUUUCUGGAGAAAAAAAAAACCUGAGAGCGGUCGAAGAUAUGGGGUUUGGAUUGCUCAAAUAUCUUCCUGCUGUGAAGAUGGAACAGAAACUUGUCAAAAAGCUUGUAGAGAAUUUUGAUGUUGGCUCUUGCUCGCUAUUUGGGUUAACCAUCACGGCUCAACAUGGUGGUGAGAUUUUAGGAUUCCCAUCCAAGGGUAAACUUGUCCCAAAAGCCAUCUCAGAUGUGGAGCGAGACAAAUUCAAAGCCAAAUAUGAAAAAUUAAACUUCAAAAAGUUAACAGAGCUUUUAAAAAAAGCUGACCUCGACUUUACGGAGACUUUUAUGCUUUAUGCAUUUGGCCACUUUUAUUGUUCGUGUACCAAAGAUGUUCCAAGUCAAAAGCUUUACAACGCUUUAUCAGUUGUGCCUUCUGCCCGAGAAUAUAAUUGGGGCAAGUUUGUCUGUGAAUCCCUUCUCGAGGCCAUCACUAUAAAAGAAGAGAAAGUAAAGCAAAUAGCGAUUCACGGAAUAUGGAUUUUGGGGGCUGCACAUACUUUUUGAAGGUACUUUGAUUUGCGUUUGUGUUUCGUAUUUGUCUAAGAAACACUUCCUAGAUGGUCUUGUUUGUCUGACACUUACUUUCGUGUUUGUUGUUCUCAGGGUUUUUUUUCUCCAGAAAAUCAGUCCUUUGGCUACUGAAAUUGGUAAGCCUGUGAUGUCGGCCUGGACAAGUCAAUAAAUAAAAGGUGCAAUUAAAAAAAGAUGAUGGAGCAAGCGAGUAGACUGCUUUUAUUGGAGCAUGACGUUGUGCCACGUGUAACAAAUGAAGCACACUCUGGGCCUUCUGAUUCCAUCGUGGUUGCUAGAAUUGAUGAAUUAGUGAAGACUAUCCGUACGCUGAAGGAGGCUCAUAAUACCAACACUGAAGCUCGCUCUAGGCCUUCUAAUCCCGACGUGGUUGCUAGACUUGAUGAAUUGGAGAAGGUUAUCCGUAAGCUGAAUGAGGCCGCUUUCUUUUCACAACCAUCUUUCAAGGUGGUUCAUGCAGAUAUUUCCUACAAAUUCUUGAAAAGUCUAGAAGCUAAAUGCCUGAUUCAUGCAGAAGUAUUAUCUUAUUACAUAAGGUAAACUAAUAAAUUAUGUUCAGAAUAAAAAAUGGGGAUUUGGGGAUGUGGUGAUUAUGACAUAUAUAAAAAUAUACAUAAUGCAAGAAACACAAUUUAAUUAAAAUAUAUAAAUCCUUAAUAUCAAAAUGCAUAGUGAUUAAAGUGAUUAAAACUUCUUUAUAGCAAUAAUAAUAAAUAUGUAAAAGAAAUAAUCAGCUAUAAAAUAUAUAAUCAAACAUAUAUUUCAAUACUUCAGGGAGUUGAAAAUAAGCAUAGAUCCGGUUUGGGGUAUACGCACAAGACACUCAACAUACAAGGUUCCGUAAUGUAUAGCAGCGGCCUUUCUUUUUUGCUUUUGACAAGCGGAAUAUGUAACUUCGAUCAUAGGGAUCAAUUUUUAGUCAUUAAAAGGACACUCAAAUCGGGUACUAUACGAAGUAUUUUAAACACGGGAAAGAAAAUACAGAGCAAGGUCUAGUUCGAGCUGUCGUGUAAAAGAAAACUGUUGAUAGUAUCCAUUUCGUUUACAUUAAAUGUUAUUUGUAAAACAUUAUUAUGAUAUCCAUUUCGUUUACAUAUAAAUUUGACUCAAAUUUUAUAUUUUAAAAAUAGGUUUGACGGUUAAAAUAUAUAAUUAAAUUUCAAAAUUGAUGCGAAGUUAUCAUGCCUCAAAAUAUUAAGAUUAACAUUUAAGAUUGAUUUCUUGAUAAAUACAUUCAUAAUUUCAUAUACAAAACAAAAACUUGUAUCAAGUAACUUCAGAAGNAGCCUCAUGUUGAUAUUAAGUAAGAUUAACAUUUAAGAUUGAUUUCUUGAUAAAUACAUUCAUAAUUUCAUAUACAAAACAAAAACUUGUAUCAAGUAACUUCAGAAGUUGAUCAUAUAAUAACGAAAAAAAUUAUAUAUAUUUUAGGAAAGAAUAAAACUAAUAGCACUAAAUACCCUAUAAAACAAAUUAAGUCUUAAACUAGCUAGCCUCAUGUUGAUAUUAAUUUGUGAAAAGCAAUACAUAAAUAAGCUACAGGGUGGACCACCACUGGGGCUUGCCCUGGUGUAGCUCCGCCCAUGAGUACACAUCUUAGUCAAUAUCAAUCGGCAAAGAGAACUCAUAACCGGUAAAGGAAAAGGAGAUAGAACAACAAUUCUCCUUCAUUUCCCAUAGUUGUCUCUUCAGAUUAAUGCAAGCCUGGAUCAACUGGUAGGUCAACGUUAAUCAAAUAAUUGCAAAUUGUCAUUCCAACACCCGCACAAAUCUGAACCGUAAAAGACAAGGACACACGGGGGGGCUCACCCCUUACAUAUAUGGCCGCACCCUCGCACCCCAAGGUAUCUCGCGGGAAAGAUCUUUUUCCACACCCCUGCUUUAUAGGCUAGAACAUAUAGGCCGUGUUUGAAAGUUAGAGAUUUGGAGUGUUUAAGAGGUUUGACCAUUUUACUCCGCUAAUUUUAGUAUUUGAUAGUUAGCGGAUUGAAAUAGAGGUUCGGGCUCAAAAAUGUACUUUGAGGAGCUUUUUGGGUUAGAGGUUUUGGUAUGUGUCAUAAAAAGCUAAUCAAACAGCUUUACCAAACAGUUUUACAAGAAACCACUAAUUAAAUCCGCUAGUCAAAACAUCUAUUUUAAUCAGCUAGUCAAAACAUCUAAUUCAAUCCGCUAACAGCUAACUGCUAAUUCCCAAACAGGGCAUAAUAAUAUUUGCAGUACAACAGCAAUGCUGUAUAUGCCAAUGACAACAUUUAUAAUCAGUGACUGUCAAUCCGUACUUAAUGCUUGUUUCUAUUCCCCCAUCACAUGAAAAACAAAAAAUAUAAAGAUAUAUUUUCUGGUUUCAACUUUGGAUUCAGUGUGUGUCGUAUCUGCCUACAGGACUGAGACUCACUAUAGAACAAUUUGUGUAUAAAGAAAACAGAUUACUUGCAUACCUGAGGCAAUGAUGUGACAAUAGUGGCUCUUGGAUUGCCACCGAGUAAGUAUUUUCUGAGGGUAGUAGAUAUACCAGAUUCUUUAUUUCCUUGAGGCAGUUUCACAUACUUCAAAUUUUUGAAUGGAGAAGGAACACGUCCCAAACUGUUGGAAACUGUAUAAAGUGCCUAAAAUAUAUUAUGACAAAAUACAUUAGUAUAAACAAUAUCUGAAAGCCAGUUGUAAUUAAAAACUAAUGUUCAUCAUAGAAUACACAAAGAUAACAUGUAAGUUGCGCAUUAGUUCUUGCAGGAAUAUAUUAGUUUUCUGGAAGCCAGAUCACUCAGGAAGCUGAAGAGAAGUGGUGUGAUUACUCUUGGCUUAUAAAUUUUAUAAAUGUAAACCACUAUCCACCAGAUAAUAAUGUUUAACUACAUUCUCCUCCGGAAACUAGAAAUAUAUAUUAAAGCAUCAUAAAAGUCAAAUAUUAAUUUACCUCAAUCAUAGCAGAGUCGAGAGUAAGAGUCCUGGCAUUACCCAGUUCUGAUAACAUGGGUAUGACAAAAUCAUAAUGUAAUCCCUUCUCAUCCAAUGUUGCAUCAUUGAACUCAUUUGUAUCCCAUAAUUUUACAGAUACAUUCUCCAAUUCAUGAACUUUUGACCUGACCAUAAAGAUACCAACUAAAGAAAGUUCACGGAGCUUGUUUGACAAAACCGCUAUUUCAUGGAUCCAGCAAAUACAUGAAAAGUUGGUACAGAUCUUGAGGUGCACUAAUUGGGGACAAGAUAUAAUCCAAUUGUGUUUACACGAUCCACUGAAAGAUAUUGUAAUAUCCCGCACACUCACAAGUGCAGAGAAAAAAUCAUUCAUGUUCGCAGGUAAAUCUACCUCAUCCAGUUCCAGACUUAGUAAAGCUGGCAAAUGCCACACAUUUUCCGGCAAUUUGGCCCUUUUCAUAAUGAGGGUUGUCAGACAAGGCACACUGAUAGACGACAUCGAUUCCGGCAACCUAAUGCCAUCAAGA